UGAGUAAUGUCUGGGAAACUGCCUGAUGGAGGGGGAUAACUACUGGAAACGGUAGCUAAUACCGCAUAACGUCGCAAGACCAAAGAGGGGGACCUUCGGGCCUCUUGCCAUCAGAUGUGCCCAGAUGGGAUUAGCUAGUAGGUGGGGUAACGGCUCACCUAGGCGACGAUCCCUAGCUGGUCUGAGAGGAUGACCAGCCACACUGGAACUGAGACACGGUCCAGACUCCUACGGGAGGCAGCAGUGGGGAAUAUUGCACAAUGGGCGCAAGCCUGAUGCAGCCAUGCCGCGUGUAUGAAGAAGGCCUUCGGGUUGUAAAGUACUUUCAGCGGGGAGGAAGGUGUUGUGGUUAAUAACCGCAGCAAUUGACGUUACCCGCAGAAGAAGCACCGGCUAACUCCGUGCCAGCAGCCGCGGUAAUACGGAGGGUGCAAGCGUUAAUCGGAAUUACUGGGCGUAAAG
Molecule: ribosomal RNA, 462 nt
Filed under: Enterobacteriaceae bacterium
Lineage: Bacteria; Pseudomonadati; Pseudomonadota; Gammaproteobacteria; Enterobacterales; Enterobacteriaceae
Description: bacterial SSU rRNA
Rfam family: Bacterial small subunit ribosomal RNA
Source: RNAcentral